Molecule: non-coding RNA, 237 nt
Filed under: Abiotrophia defectiva
Lineage: Bacteria; Bacillati; Bacillota; Bacilli; Lactobacillales; Aerococcaceae
Description: T-box sequence
Rfam family: T-box leader
About the family: Uncharged tRNA acts as the effector for transcription antitermination of genes in the T-box leader family. T-boxes are found upstream of many aminoacyl-tRNA synthetase genes and some amino acid biosynthetic genes usually in Gram-positive bacteria.
Source: RNAcentral
GAAAUAUCGUUGAACAGAAGAGUAGUAAAACUAGCGAUUCAAGAGAGGUACCGGUAGGUGGAAGGUACUAUCGAAUAGGUUAUGAAGAUGGUCUGGGAGAUAAAUACGCCGAUAGGUAGGUGUGUUCGGGUCAUUCCCCCGUUACCAGGAAUACCAGUUACGCUGUAAGGCCAGCUGGGUAGAGGGAAGCUUAGGCUUCUGAAUAAAAGGUGGUAACACGAUCACAUCGUCCUUUUA